Molecule: ribosomal RNA, 782 nt
Filed under: anaerobic methanogenic archaeon ET1-6
Lineage: Archaea
Description: bacterial SSU rRNA
Rfam family: Archaeal small subunit ribosomal RNA
Source: RNAcentral
UGGAUAACCUGCCCUUGGGUCCGGCAUAACCCCGGGAAACUGGGGAUAAUUCCGGAUAACGCACAUAUGCUGGAAUGCUUUAUGCGUAAAAUGGAUUCGUCUGCCCAAGGAUGGGUCUGCGGCCUAUCAGGUAGUAGUGGGUGUAAUGUACCUACUAGCCAACAACGGGUACGGGUUGUGAGAGCAAGAGCCCGGAGAUGGAUUCUGAGACAUGAAUCCAGGCCCUACGGGGCGCAGCAGGCGCGAAAACUUUACAAUGCGGGAAACCGUGAUAAGGGGACACCGAGUGCCAGCAUCAUAUGCUGGCUGUCCAGGUGUGUAAACUACACCUGUUAGCAAGGGCCGGGCAAGACCGGUGCCAGCCGCCGCGGUAACACCGGCGGCCCGAGUGGUGAUCGUGAUUAUUGGGUCUAAAGGGUCCGUAGCCGGUUUGGUCAGUCCUCCGGGAAAUCUGAUAGCUCAACUAUUAGGCUUUCGGGGGAUACUGCCAGGCUUGGAACCGGGAGAGGUAAGAGGUACUACAGGGGUAGGAGUGAAAUCUUGUAAUCCCUGUGGGACCACCUGUGGCGAAGGCGUCUUACCAGAACGGGUUCGACGGUGAGGGACGAAAGCUGGGGGCACGAACCGGAUUAGAUACCCGGGUAGUCCCAGCCGUAAACGAUGCUCGCUAGGUGUCAGGCAUGGCGCGACCGUGUCUGGUGCCGCAGGGAAGCCGUGAAGCGAGCCACCUGGGAAGUACGGCCGAAAGGCUGAAACUUAAAGGAAUUGGCGGGGGAACACAA